Long non-coding RNA from Platichthys flesus (European flounder), 1782 nucleotides. RefSeq lists it as uncharacterized. The record is from RefSeq and is a predicted model, not a curated record. NCBI's taxonomy places the organism in Eukaryota, Metazoa, Chordata, Actinopteri, Pleuronectiformes, Pleuronectidae. The transcript is spliced from 5 exons.
AUUCCUGGGAGUCCGGCCCGGGUUUUGCGGUUUCAGCAGAGCUAUGAUCCCAGAAAUACAAGCAAGCCUGGAGGUGGUUAGGACAUGAAAGUGAGUUCAAAACUCUUUGGCAGCAACUACCAAAAAACUCCAUGUACCGUCAUGCCUUGCGCGUCUACGUUGGGCAGAGCGCAGCAUGUGCUUCAGCGCUUGGCUCCAACUAUGGCUCAGUGCUGCUCGGGCUCUCAACGGGAGCGCACCGCGCCGCCGCCGCCAGAGGAGCUGAGAACAUCACCGCGCUGGAGCACCAGGGGGGACCAGGGGGGACCACUAACUUUUUCUUUUUAAACUCCUGCUCGUGGACGUAGCUCCGAGCUUUCUGCCUGAUUUGCCCGAGCGCAAAUCAUUUUACGCACGGGUUCCCCGGACGCAUCAGGAGGAUUACACGCUGACCUUACAGCACUGACCCGUGUGGAGUUAAUAUUGUUAUGGGUAGAACUUGUUCACAAUGGAAUCGGAUGAUGGAUUCUACAGUCCGGCCCCGGGUCUUCUUGUUGGAUGUAAGGAAAUCAAGUGCCGGGAUGAGCGGUGUGUGUUCCUCCUGCUGCUCAGUCCCUGCUGCUGGACAGGCUGGGUGUCGGACACACCAGUCUCUUGGGAUACUUCACGCGUGUUCGUGGGGCGCCAGUGUCAUACAUGGCCAAUACCAUGAUAUUCUUAUGGAAAAUACUUUCUGGUGGAUUUGAGGUACAAUAUCCUGGAGUAUACUUUUUUUGGGGGACGGGGAGUGAUGCUCAACAGAUGUGCAGCAAAUGUGGAUAAUGAGGGGACGCAUCAACUCAUCCAGCAGAAUGAAGGCAUCCAAAUUCAUGGAAUAAGAUGUGAACCUUUAAUCGCUUCCCAGGGAUCUUCUGAUGAUCUCAGAGGAGCAACAAGAAGAGGCUGAGUAAUGGAAACAUGAUCUUCAGUGAUUCAACAGGAUCAUGUUAAAUCCCGGCCUGGACUGCGGACCAGCAUCCCCUGCAGCAGAUGUUUGCUCUUGGCACGGCUGCUGACAGCAUGAGCUCCAUCACUGACAAUGUUGCUGCUCAGGACCCGCGCCAGCCGCUUGGACUUGGAGGAGCUCUGACAUAAACUCAGCAGGACAGCGGCGUGUACUCCACCGCUCCGACAUUAUGGAACAGAUCAGUCAACCCUGUCUGGAGAGAUGCUCAAGUAGGAAAGCCAAAUCAGUGAAUGUGCAUUCGCUGUAGUUACCACAAUGGAUCUACAUAUUAUUUGACUUUUUCUAAAUUGAACCUGGAUUAAUAUUUUCCUGUAUAUGCAUCUGCUUUUGAUAUCCAGCGCUUAUUCAUACUGUUGUUCAUACCCUGUACCGUAGUUGUGACAUUUACUGUGUUAUUCUGGGACAAGAAUCAACAGGCGCUGGAACUGUAAAUGGAAUAUAAUCAGAUGUUAUUUUCAUUUUUUUAAACUUUUUUUUUUUUUUUUUUAACAAACCGGUGGCAGCGCUCUCACCGGCGCAGGCACACAUGAGGUUUGUGGAGUGAAGAGCUCAAUGAAUUUCUCCUGUGGUGUAAAAACUAAUUAAUACACAUGUGAUCGAGAUUCCUCAGAAGGAUCAGUCCAUUAUCAUCACAGUGUUAAUGAAUGUUAACCUUUAAAAACUCUCCCACUAACCCUGCAUGUCCCUGUGACACUCUGUGUGUGGUUAAUAUUCCUGUCAGGCUGUGUAAUUCCAUGAUGAUUUAUUGCAACAUAACUUUGAUUGUGUUAUUUGCCGAAAUAAAAGAGUGUUUCCAA